GAUCAUGGGCUCAGGACGAACGCUGGCGGCGCGCCUAACACAUGCAAGUCGAACGAGAGAGAGGAAGCUUGCUUCCUCAAUCGAGUGGCGAACGGGUGAGUAACGCGUGAGGAACCUGCCUCAAAGAGGGGGACAACAGUUGGAAACGACUGCUAAUACCGCAUAAGCCCACGGGUCGGCAUCGACCAGAGGGAAAAGGAGCAAUCCGCUUUGAGAUGGCCUCGCGUCCGAUUAG
Molecule: ribosomal RNA, 235 nt
Filed under: uncultured bacterium
Lineage: Bacteria
Description: partial 16S ribosomal RNA
Rfam family: Bacterial small subunit ribosomal RNA
Source: RNAcentral